Molecule: non-coding RNA, 74 nt
Filed under: unclassified sequences
Source: RNAcentral
ACCCCACGAUAGGCGCAGCCUCCGAGUGGCGUGGGGUGGGCAACUCACCCGUAUGGGUGAGGCUGAGAGCGCCA